This 432-nucleotide long non-coding RNA is filed under the name Canis lupus dingo (dingo). Its description in RNAcentral is "lncRNA (ENSCAFG00020003914.1)". Lineage: Eukaryota; Metazoa; Chordata; Mammalia; Carnivora; Canidae. The record is from RNAcentral.
AUGGAUCCAGGCUUGAUCAUAUUCCGGGAGAUUCAUGUAUUGAUUAUGCUUAAAUGUAUAAUUUGGAUAAUCACACAUGGAAAUCCAGAAGCGAAUGCUGUUCACCAGAGAAACAAGAGCUUUGCUGUUGCACUUUUGGUGGGAGCAUACCAUGUACUUUUCUGUCCUUUGAUAUCUUUCACUUAUGUAAUUUUGGAGACUUUCUGGAACAGAAAGUCGACAUCAACCUCAUUUCCAGUGCUCCGUGGUUUUUCAGGAGGCGCUCUUCUUCAGCGGGUGCAGCCAGGCCCCUUGGUUGAGCAUGGGCUGGAGGGCUGCCCAGACCCACACAAUAGCCUCGGCCCCAUGAGGCUGCCUUGGGCCGCAUCUCGGCCACCUGAUACUCCGCUUCCGCCAGCCUGGAGAACCAAGGCCUCUUCAGCCCUGCACUAA